This 102-nucleotide transfer RNA is filed under the name Rhexocercosporidium sp. MPI-PUGE-AT-0058. It matches the Rfam family "tRNA". From Rfam's summary of the family: Transfer RNA (tRNA) molecules are approximately 80 nucleotides in length. Their secondary structure includes four short double-helical elements and three loops (D, anti-codon, and T loops). Further hydrogen bonds mediate the characteristic L-shaped molecular structure. tRNAs have two regions of fundamental functional importance: the anti-codon, which is responsible for specific mRNA codon recognition, and the 3' end, to which the tRNAs corresponding amino acid is attached (by aminoacyl-tRNA synthetases). tRNAs cope with the degeneracy of the genetic code in two manners: having more than one tRNA (with a specific anti-codon) for a particular amino acid; and 'wobble' base-pairing, i.e. permitting non-standard base-pairing at the 3rd anti-codon position. Lineage: Eukaryota; Fungi; Ascomycota; Leotiomycetes; Helotiales. The record is from Rfam by way of RNAcentral.
UCCGGAAUGGUGUAGUGGCUAGCAUUUCUGCCUCUCAUUAGCUGUUCCGAUAAACAGUUGAAGCGUUCGCAGGAGACCGGGGUUCAAUUCCCCGUUCCGGAA